GGCAUGCCUAACACAUGCAAGUCGAACGGAGUUGUUAUUCAGAAGUUCUUCGGAAUGGAAGGAUAAGAACUUAGUGGCGGACGGGUGAGUAACGCGUGGGUAACCUGCCCUUUUGUGGGGAACAACUUCGAGAGAUCGGAGCUAAUACCGCAUAAUAAUAGAGGAUCGCAUGAUUCUUUAAGGAAAGAUGGCCUCUGAAGAUGCUAUCGCAAAAGGAUGGACCCGCGUCUGAUUAGCUAGUUGGAAGGGUAACGGCCUACCAAGGCAACGAUCAGUAGCCGGCCUGAGAGGGUGAACGGCCACAUUGGGACUGAGACACGGCCCAAACUCCUACGGGAGGCAGCAGUGGGGAAUCUUCCGCAAUGGGCGAAAGCCUGACGGAGCAAUGCCGCGUGAGUGAAGAAGGCCUUCGGGUUGUAAAACUCUGUCCUUAUCGAAGAGAGGUAGGUAUGUGAAUAAUGUACCUAUAGGACGGUAGAUAAGGAGGAAGCCCCGGCUAACUACGUGCCAGCAGCCGCGGUAAUACGUAGGGGGCGAGCGUUGUCCGGAAUCACUGGGCGUAAAGGGCGCGUAGGCGGUUUAAUAAGUCAGUGGUGAAAACUGAGGGCUCAACCCUCAGCCUGCCACUGAUACUGUUAGACUUGAGUAUGGAAGAGGAGAAUGGAAUUCCUAGUGUAGCGGUGAAAUGCGUAGAUAUUAGGAGGAACACCAGUGGCGAAGGCGAUUCUCUGGGCCAAGACUGACGCUGAGGCGCGAAAGCGUGGGGAGCAAACAGGAUUAGAUACCCUGGUAGUCCACGCCGUAAACGAUGGAUACUAGGUGUUAGUAGUUUCGAUGCUACUAGUGCCGGAGUAAACACAAUAAGUAUCCCGCCUGGGGAGUACGGUCGCAAGACUGAAACUCAAAGGAAUUGACGGGGGCCCGCACAAGCGGUGGAGCAUGUGGUUUAAUUCGACGCAACGCGAAGAACCUUACCAAGACUUGACAUCCUCCUGACAAGAUAUGUAAUGUAUCUCUUUUCUUCGGAGACAGGAGAGACAGGUGGUGCAUGGUUGUCGUCAGCUCGUGUCGUGAGAUGUUGGGUUAAGUCCCGCAACGAGCGCAACCCUUAUUUCUAGUUGCCAGCAGUAAGAUGGGGACUCUAGAGAGACUGCCAGUGACAAACUGGAGGAAGGUGGGGAUGACGUCAAAUCAUCAUGCCCCUUAUGUCUUGGGCUACACACGUGCUACAAUGGUCAGAACAGAGGGAAGCGAAGCCGCGAGGUGGAGCAAAUCCCAGAAAACUGAUCUCAGUUCGGAUUGCAGGCUGCAACCCGCCUGCAUGAAGUCGGAAUCGCUA
RNAcentral lists this ribosomal RNA (1339 nucleotides) under uncultured bacterium. RNAcentral describes it as "partial 16S ribosomal RNA". It matches the Rfam family "Bacterial small subunit ribosomal RNA", at positions 41 to 1337 of the family's 1533-position model. The record is from RNAcentral.